RNAcentral lists this ribosomal RNA (482 nucleotides) under Granulicatella adiacens. Its description in RNAcentral is "bacterial SSU rRNA". It matches the Rfam family "Bacterial small subunit ribosomal RNA", at positions 28 to 492 of the family's 1533-position model. Lineage: Bacteria; Bacillati; Bacillota; Bacilli; Lactobacillales; Carnobacteriaceae. The record is from RNAcentral.
GACGAACGCUGCGGCGUGCCUAAUACAUGCAAGUCGAACGAGAGCGACCGGUGCUUGCACUGGUCAAUCUAGUGGCGAACGGGUGAGUAACACGUGGGUAACCUGCCCAUCAGAGGGGGAUAACAUUCGGAAACGGAUGCUAAAACCGCAUAGGUCCUUUAACCGCAUGGUUGAAGGAGGAAAAGAGGCGCAAGCUUCUGCUGAUGGAUGGACCCGCGGUGCAUUAGCUAGUUGGUGAGGUAACGGCUCACCAAGGCCGUGAUGCAUAGCCGACCUGAGAGGGUGAUCGGCCACAUUGGGACUGAGACACGGCCCAAACUCCUACGGGAGGCAGCAGUAGGGAAUCUUCCGCAAUGGACGCAAGUCUGACGGAGCAACGCCGCGUGAGUGAAGAAGGUUUUCGGAUCGUAAAACUCUGUUGUUAGAGAAGAACAAGUGCUAGAGUAACUGUUAGCGCCUUGACGGUAUCUAACCAGAAAGCC